Molecule: ribosomal RNA, 253 nt
Filed under: uncultured bacterium
Lineage: Bacteria
Description: partial 16S ribosomal RNA
Rfam family: Bacterial small subunit ribosomal RNA
Source: RNAcentral
GACAGAGGGUGCAAACGUUGCUCGGAAUCACUGGGCGUAAAGGGCGUGUAGGCGGGAAUGGAAGUCGGGCGUGAAAUCCCUAGGCUCAACCUAGGAACUGCACUCGAAACUGCGUUUCUUGAGUGCCGGAGAGGAAAGCGGAAUUCCUGGUGUAGAGGUGAAAUUCGUAGAUAUCAGGAGGAACACCAGUGGCGAAGGCGGCUUUCUGGACGGUAACUGACGCUGAGACGCGAAAGCGUGGGGAGCAAACAGG